Molecule: ribosomal RNA, 253 nt
Filed under: uncultured bacterium
Lineage: Bacteria
Description: partial 16S ribosomal RNA
Rfam family: Bacterial small subunit ribosomal RNA
Source: RNAcentral
UACGAAGGGGGCUAGCGUUGCUCGGAAUUACUGGGUGUAAAGCGCGUGUAGGCGGCAGACCAAGUCGGCGGUGAAAGCGCCCGGCUCAACUGGGCGAGGUCCGUGGAAACUGGUCAGCUGGAGGACGGUAGAGGCGAGUGGAAUUCCCGGUGUAGUGGUGAAAUGCGUAGAGAUCGGGAGGAACACCUGUGGCGAAGGCGGCUCGCUGGGCCGGUCCUGACGCUGAGACGCGAAGGCGUGGGGAGCGAACGGG